This 744-nucleotide ribosomal RNA is filed under the name Frigoribacterium sp. G03 78-23. Its description in RNAcentral is "bacterial SSU rRNA". It matches the Rfam family "Bacterial small subunit ribosomal RNA", at positions 71 to 828 of the family's 1533-position model. The record is from RNAcentral. Lineage: Bacteria; Bacillati; Actinomycetota; Actinomycetes; Micrococcales; Microbacteriaceae.
AAGAGGAGCUUGCUCCUCUCGAUCAGUGGCGAACGGGUGAGUAACACGUGAGUAACCUGCCCCAGACUCUGGGAUAAGCACUGGAAACGGUGUCUAAUACCGGAUACGAGCUUCAGCCGCAUGGCUAGGAGCUGGAAAGAAUUUCGGUCUGGGAUGGACUCGCGGCCUAUCAGCUAGUUGGUGAGGUAAUGGCCCACCAAGGCGACGACGGGUAGCCGGCCUGAGAGGGUGACCGGCCACACUGGGACUGAGACACGGCCCAGACUCCUACGGGAGGCAGCAGUGGGGAAUAUUGCACAAUGGGCGAAAGCCUGAUGCAGCAACGCCGCGUGAGGGACGACGGCCUUCGGGUUGUAAACCUCUUUUAGUAGGGAAGAAGCGAAAGUGACGGUACCUGCAGAAAAAGCACCGGCUAACUACGUGCCAGCAGCCGCGGUAAUACGUAGGGUGCAAGCGUUAUCCGGAAUUAUUGGGCGUAAAGAGCUCGUAGGCGGUUUGUCGCGUCUGCUGUGAAAACUGGAGGCUCAACCUCCAGCCUGCAGUGGGUACGGGCAGACUAGAGUGCGGUAGGGGAGAUUGGAAUUCCUGGUGUAGCGGUGGAAUGCGCAGAUAUCAGGAGGAACACCGAUGGCGAAGGCAGAUCUCUGGGCCGUAACUGACGCUGAGGAGCGAAAGCAUGGGGAGCGAACAGGAUUAGAUACCCUGGUAGUCCAUGCCGUAAACGUUGGGAACUAGAUGUAGGGA